Molecule: long non-coding RNA, 1169 nt
Organism: Acinonyx jubatus (cheetah)
Lineage: Eukaryota; Metazoa; Chordata; Mammalia; Carnivora; Felidae
Exons: 3
Source: RefSeq, a predicted model, not a curated record
CCUCCCACCCGCGCCUUGGUCCCGUCCUGGGGCCACCGCUGCAUUUCCGUCCUGAGCUGAGGGAGCCAGUCCUGGUCCACAGCCCAGGAGGGGGAACAUCCUGGAGGCCUGUGGCUGCGGCAUCUGGGGCGCGGGAGCGCCAGCGACAGAGCUGGUGACCCGGCGAACUGGUUACCGGCCAGAUCUGAUCCAUUUCAAGCGGAUGCGGAAUCGGUUUCCGGUUUAAUGUGAAAGAGCCGUGUGGGCGGAUUGUUGAGAUCUGUGGUGCUGGUUGCUGCAAAUGCAAAAUCCUGGUUUGUGAGCCCCGACCUCUGAAGAAGAAAGGAGCUAUCUGAACCCAAAUGCUUCAUUCAGUGCUUUCCAGCUUUCCACCAGUUCAAAGGGCUCAGAGGGGACCGUCUGGCCCCUUCUCGGAGGACACAAAUGGAAGCCCGCUCGCCCAUAGGCACACUCACUUGCAGUUGGUGAGACGGAUCCGCUCAGGUGGAGAGCCACUCAGAGGUGCGUUCAGGACCAGCCCAAGCGUCAACGCAUUCCGCAAGAGGGCGGUCCGGACUGCGGGUGCCACGUCAUCUCUGGCGUGGGUCACAGACCCAAAACAAGCCCACGUUGCCGUGGCCCCGUGCUCCUGAGGUACUUCUGGGGGACACUGGCUUGGAGAACGUUGUUUUGAUGACUUCGAUGAAGGUGGUGGAACUAAUUCCCACUCGAAUGGGUGGUUGUUUAUUUCUGCUUCGCGUGAAUCAGAGGUAAUUGUUUUGAAUAGCCUUUCACGGUGGCUCUGUGUACUGGGGCCAUCUGGUGCCGAUGUCCCCGCUUCUCCACUUGUGGCUUUUAAGACACGCUUCCCUCUCCCACCGUGAGGCUGCUCCUCUGAUUCAACCAUCGGUGAUUAACGGAGCUCACGUCCAAAGACCCCAUUCAGAGGCGAGCUGACACGGACAGCUUUGGUCUCCAAAUUAGGAAAUAGUAAUUCCCACCGUCAGCCAAGUGUUUGGUGAAGGAAAGCGACAACAGCAAGGGCAACACUUUCUUGACAAACGCACAAGUGACCAUGUGACACAGGAGCUGAAACAGUCAGGAGUAGGUCGAGGUGGCUGGGGGCUGGCACAGGUCGUGUUUGAAGGUCAAUCUUCAAGGGGUGGUAACGUGUAUAAAAUUCUUCCUAG